GAUGAACGCUAGCGGGAGGCCUAAUACAUGCAAGUCGAGCGGUAGAGUGACUUCGGUUGCUUGAGAGCGGCGCACGGGUGAGUAACGCGUACAUGACCUACCUUUAAGACUGGGAUAGCCCUGGGAAACUGGGAUUAAUACCGGAUGUGAUAAUACGUAUAGAGAUGUAUUAUUAAAGUUGAGGCGCUUAGAGAUGGAUGUGCGUCUGAUUAGCUAGUUGGUAGGGUAACGGCCUACCAAGGCUACGAUCAGUAGGGGCGUGAGAGCGUGGCCCCCCACACGGGUACUGAGACACGGACCCGACUCCUACGGGAGGCAGCAGUAAGGAAUAUUGGUCAAUGGACGAAAGUCUGAACCAGCCAUCCCGCGUGCAGGAUGAAGGUCCUAUGGAUUGUAAACUGCUUUUAGCAGAGAAGAAAAGCAUUCAUUUAUGAGUGUCUGACGGUAUCUGCGGAAUAAGCACCGGCUAACGUCCGUGCCAGCAGCCGC
RNAcentral lists this ribosomal RNA (489 nucleotides) under uncultured bacterium. Its description in RNAcentral is "bacterial SSU rRNA". It matches the Rfam family "Bacterial small subunit ribosomal RNA", at positions 28 to 518 of the family's 1533-position model. The record is from RNAcentral.